UACGUAGGGAGCAAGCGUUGUCCGGAAUCAUUGGGCGUAAAGCGCGCGUAGGUGGCCUCAUAAGUCCGCUGUGAAAGUCAAAGGCUCAACCUUUGAAAGCCGGUGGAUACUGUGAGGCUAGAGUACGGAAGAGGCGAGUGGAAUUCCUGGUGUAGCGGUGGAAUGCGCAGAUAUCAGGAGGAACACCAAUAGCGAAGGCAGCUCGCUGGGACGUUACUGACACUGAGGCGCGAAAGCGUGGGGAGCGAAC
RNAcentral lists this ribosomal RNA (250 nucleotides) under uncultured Solirubrobacter sp. RNAcentral describes it as "partial 16S ribosomal RNA". It matches the Rfam family "Bacterial small subunit ribosomal RNA", at positions 524 to 773 of the family's 1533-position model. Lineage: Bacteria; Bacillati; Actinomycetota; Thermoleophilia; Solirubrobacterales; Solirubrobacteraceae. The record is from RNAcentral.